GGCCAGACUCCUACGGGAGGCAGCAGUGGGGAAUAUUGCACAAUGGGGGAAACCCUGAUGCAGCGACGCCGCGUGAGCGAUGAAGUAUUUCGGUAUGUAAAGCUCUAUCAGCAGGGAAGAAAAUGACGGUACCUGACUAAGAAGCCCCGGCUAACUACGUGCCAGCAGCCGCGGUAAUACGUAGGGGGCAAGCGUUAUCCGGAUUUACUGGGUGUAAAGGGGGCGUAGACGGUCCUGCAAGCCAGAUGUGAAAACCCGGGGCUCAACCCCGGGACUGCAUUGGAAACUGUCAGGCUAGAGUGUCGGAGAGGCAAGUGGAAUUCCUAGUGUAGCGGUGAAAUGCGUAGAUAUUAGGAGGAACACCAGUGGCGAAGGCGGCUUGCUGGACGAUGACUGACGUCGAGGCUCGAAAGCGUGGGGAGCAAACAGGAUUAGAUACCCCCGUAC
This 447-nucleotide ribosomal RNA is filed under the name uncultured bacterium. Its description in RNAcentral is "bacterial SSU rRNA". It matches the Rfam family "Bacterial small subunit ribosomal RNA", at positions 329 to 793 of the family's 1533-position model. The record is from RNAcentral.